GGCUCAUUCUACUUGGGAGGCUGCUGCAGCGUGAGUGAGUCUUUGUGACCGAUCUCUCUGGGGCAGAUACCAAACCUAGUAAAGUGAACUGACUUUUCGCAAUUCCUUUGAACACAUGUUUCGGAUGGCAACUGCGGGCAUGUAAGAGACUGUUGCCCGAAAUAGGCUUACGGUAGAGAGCAGAGAUGAUGGUUCCUCCUUCAGGAUUUCCUGUGGUGAGAUCCCAGGAUUCCUAACUAAUACCUAAACAUUGGAGUGCAUGAAAAAUAGCUAUUCUUGGGUUGACAAAUGAACAAUUGAAAGUGCUGGUAUUUGGCUUGGCAUCCUGCAUUUGAGAAAUAAAAGAAAGCUCUGUUCAUCCCCCAUAGAGAAGUCAUUAGGACUGAGAAUAUUCUAAUUAUUCUACACGUGGCUUCAAGAAUUCUGCAGAUAAAGCAACAAAAGCUGUCAAGAAAUGGCAAGAUGGAAAAGGAAUAUGAGUAUUGAGGUUUUCUAUUGUCUUAAAGUAGACAUCCUCAAACUUGGCCCUCCAGAGGUUUUGGAACUACAUUUCCCAUGAUGCUUAGCCAGCUGAUAUGCUGGCUGAGCAUCAUGGGAAAUGUAGUUCCAAAAACCUCUGGAGGGCCACGUUUGAGGAUGUCUGUCUUAAAGGGUAAUUUUUGUAGUGUGCUUACAUUUCACCAAUUGCGCUCUUGACGAUUAUUCUAUUAUUAAAAUCUAUAAAGAGAAUAAAUGGCAUAUUUUACCUUG
Long non-coding RNA from Bombina bombina (fire-bellied toad), 750 nucleotides. RefSeq lists it as uncharacterized. The transcript has 4 exons. The record is from RefSeq and is a predicted model, not a curated record. Lineage: Eukaryota; Metazoa; Chordata; Amphibia; Anura; Bombinatoridae.